UCCGCUGGGGAAGCCUGGUUUUACGGGAAGCCUGGUAGGAGGUCAGUCGGUGAUGGACUUUGGAUAGCACUGGGGAGGCUCGGCAGACAUCGGGGGUGAUCGGCCACUGCAGGGACCCAACUGCUGGAGCUCAUCCGUCAUAGAAGCUCGUUCGAAAUCCAUCUGCUGGAGAAGUUCGGACGGGAUCCGAUUCUCGCGAGAGG
RNAcentral lists this long non-coding RNA (203 nucleotides) under Elaeis guineensis (African oil palm). RNAcentral's name for it is "long non-coding RNA (EGUI_LNC080383)". The record is from RNAcentral. Lineage: Eukaryota; Viridiplantae; Streptophyta; Magnoliopsida; Arecales; Arecaceae.